CGACCCUGAGCAGGAUGGUCCAUGCCUUCUUUUCUCUCAGCACCGUACGAGCCGAAGCUCUAGUUUGUCCUUAACCUUCAGCCAAGCGCUUAUCUGGCCGCGUUGCUCCUCUCCCGAUCCCUAACCGCCGCCUUCUCUCCCUAACAACCGAGACGCUUUUAUCUCUAUCGAAACCCAAAUUCAAUCCCGAUCCAAUCCCGAAUUCCAAUUUUAUCUCAAGCUCAAAUCCUAUAACUGAAUCGGAUCCAAGUUUGGCUGGCCGCAAUUCCCGCGAGGUCCCAACUAAUUUGGGAUUGAUUUCUUCGCCGCCAAGUCCUACUUAUGAGCUAUAUAAGGGGAGCCUCUGCUGCCGCCGCGCACAGAAGGGAGGAGGGCCCUGGCCGAAGCCCUGUCGCCGCCAUCGAUCUACGUCGAAGCCACCAAAGUCCUGUUGCCACCGACUAACGAGCUCCAGGAAGAGGAGAAAGGCCCAGGCUAUCACACAUCCUCUAACGGUUCCCGAGGUCACCUGCCACACGUCCAGGCUGCAAGACGUCGACGGUGAGGUCGACCGUGUGCUCAAGCCGGGCAGCCCCCAUGUCACUUAUGAGGGUCCGGAGCACGUUGAGUGCAUCUACGGCAUCGAGCACGGCAACUAGCUCCUCGGGUUCUGACACUAGGACAUCAACACGCAUCACAGCAACGCCGAGACUCCGUCACGAUCCAUCUCUCUCACUUCAUCACCACCAUGAGGAACGCGUCGGGCAUCGCUCAAGGAGAAGUUUGAUUUAUACGCUAAUUCUUUCUAUGUUGUUUUCUCAUGAUGGCAUAGGGAGAGCGCGGUGGCUCUUCUCGGCAACGAGCAGUAGCCUCAUCUCUUUCCCCUGUAUUCGUGCGCCAGGGAGCAACCCAGUCAGCUGUCUAGCAAGGACGCACAUCGCGUUGGGCGUGGUGCGGGGGGCUUUACCGUCUGCAAGUUACGAUUGAUCAAAGAAGAAGUUCAAAGAUCUCGCAGCAAGAAAAGCUUACCAUUUUAAUAUCUUGCAAAUUUUAUUUCCUUUUAAGGGAUGUUAUAUUAUUAUCAAUUCUUUGUUUUUAUUCCUGUUUGUUCUUGUGAAGGUCGCAAUAGUUUCGCGCAGGGUCUAUCUUCGUGCGGGUGGGCGAUGCCCGUGAUGCUUGCACCGUUCCGCUCUCUCUGGGAUGCAUCGGCUUCUCCCCUUACCGGAUCGGUCUAUACCCUCCAGUCUGACUCAUGAGGGCCUCAAUAGCUUGGUGUUGGCUUCGUCGGUGGCAUGUGUGCGGGAUGUCGGCUUCCCUUGUUUUAACCCUGGCGGCAUUUGUGGUUGUUGUUCGACCACGAUUGGUCGGGAGCACCAGGCGAAAGCCUUUUCGACCUUGUGUCGAUGCCGGUGCUGGCGAUGUUCUCGGACGCCUUUACCUCCUUGGAGGCGGUGUUGUGAUGCUCCUUGCCUCUCUGGAAAGUUCUUCGGGUGAAAACCCAAUCUCAGUCUUUUUAGAUGAGCAAUGAUGAUGUCUUUGAUGUCGUGCCCUCCCCGGUGGCGUUGUUCGGGAGUUCCUUUCCUGUGGUUCGGGUGGCCUCAUUUGUGUUGGGUAGUCGAAGGAUGGGGUCUGUGUUGCGAAGUCGGAGCUGCUUUGCCGCUUUUGUGCAAUGAACUUAGCAACGAUGACCCGAUUGCGGACUCCAUUUGUAGUUGUGUGCAGCAUUUGUUGUUCGGGCACUUAUGUCAUCGGGUAUUCCGCUGGUUGGCCCUAAAUCAACCAUGCAGUUGUUAAGGUUUUUGAACCCAAUUUCUCUCGUAAACUGGGU
Phragmites australis (common reed) is the source of this 1807-nucleotide long non-coding RNA. RefSeq lists it as uncharacterized. The transcript has 2 exons. Lineage: Eukaryota; Viridiplantae; Streptophyta; Magnoliopsida; Poales; Poaceae. The record is from RefSeq and is a predicted model, not a curated record.